RNAcentral lists this ribosomal RNA (493 nucleotides) under Bacillus stratosphericus. RNAcentral's name for it is "bacterial SSU rRNA". It matches the Rfam family "Bacterial small subunit ribosomal RNA", at positions 183 to 662 of the family's 1533-position model. The record is from RNAcentral. Lineage: Bacteria; Bacillati; Bacillota; Bacilli; Caryophanales; Bacillaceae.
GAACCGCAUGGUUCAAGGAUGAAAGACGGUUUCGGCUGUCACUUACAGAUGGACCCGCGGGCCAUUAGCUAGUUGGUGAGGUAACGGCUCACCAAGGCGACGAUGCGUAGCCGACCUGAGAGGGUGAUCGGCCACACUGGGACUGAGACACGGCCCAGACUCCUACGGGAGGCAGCUGUAGGGAAUCUUCCGCAAUGGACGAAAGUCUGACGGAGCAACGCCGCGUGAGUGAUGAAGGUUUCCGGAUCGUAAAGCUCUGUUGUUAGGGAAGAACAAGACUGAGAGUAACUGCUUGCACCUUGACGGUACCUAACCAGAAAGCCACGGCUAACUACGUGCCAGCAGCCGCGGUAAUACGUAGGUGGCAAGCGUUGUCCGGAAUUAUUGGGCGUAAAGGGCUCGCAGCGGGUUUCUUAAGUCUGAUGUGAAAGCCCCCGGCUCAACCGGGGAGGGUCAUUGGAAACUGGGAAACUUGAGUGCAGAAGAGGACAGU